CAGAAGGAACAAUAUGUGAUGCUGAUCUUGUGAUUACUGUUGCUGGUGAUGUCAUACUUGCAUGGGCUAACCAUUUGUUCGAUAACUUGAUUCCCAUUGUAAGGUGUUAAGUCGGAUCGUAUUUGUUCUGAUGAGGCAAAGCAUGCAAUAGCUCGUUUAUCCCUGUUUACCUUGGCACCGGAUUGAUGGACCACUAUAUACGCAUGGAAAUAAAUAAGUGUGUAUUCUACGGAUAAUAUUUGUAUUGUAUGAAUCUCAAAUUGGCCUGGGAUGGCAAUUGCUUUAACCCAUCUCUCAUGUUAUUUUGCGGAUUUUAAUAUGCUCAGGUGUCAUUUUAAUUUUAUCAUAUAGUUGAGUACCUCCUUUCUCUUCCCUUCAACAAUGCAGCGCCAGAGUCUGAGCUUGUAACCGGGAUACUAUUAUUAGUUCGUAGGCAUGGACAGUUUCAGCCUUUUAAGUCUAUACCUGAACCUGUAACUAUUGAAAGUAUGUUUCUUGGGUUAUCUACGAAGUAUACCUUUAGCCGAAGGGUUACAACAUGAAUGCUCAUGCUGGCAGAAUCACUAUUGCAGGUGUAGAGGCGACAAGCAGAGGCCACCCAGAACGCUGCCAUGGCGCCUGCUAUCUUGUUUCUAGAGAAUGAGAUGUCCAUCAGUUCGAUAGACUAGAAUCACAAAUCAUGGCAUGCUGAACUAAGUGUCUCAGGCAGUACAUGUAGAGCAGGAGACAACACAUUUAUUUUGGAUAGUAGUGGAAUGGAGAUCAUCAAGUGACUUGGAAGUACUCAGCCUGAAAAUAUGACAGGGAUGUGCCCUCUUCUCCAUAUCUGCAUGAUGGCUCAAAGCACGCCACCAUGACCAGAUUGUUUCUCCACAACAACAAGCUAGACAGAUAAUGCUUUAGCUCCGUUGGCUCUGGUUUUAAUUUCCUUGGUAUGGCUGGCUCUGGUUUUAAGCUCUCCAAAGUUUCAUGAGAUGAUGCGCAAUGAAAAAAAAACUUUUGCAGUAUCUGCAGCACUUAAGAAUCAUGCUAUUAUGGUGCUUCACCUCCGCCUUCCCUCUAUAUGUUUGUAUCCAUUUUUGCGAGCAUGGCCGCUUACUCUGAUUUACGAAUGGGCAUGGAUGCAUGGGAAGCUGCUUUCAGUCUGUAGAAAACUCGUGUUACUCAAGGAUGGGGAUAUAAUUGAAGUGAGGUUUUCUCCACAUAUUACACGAAAUAAUUUACAAGUUGGCUACUACCUCCUGAGUCUGUACAUAAUGAGAGUGUGUGGUAGUAACUUGUGCUGUAAGUAUGAGUUUUGAUGCAAUAAAUUUAAGUUUGGAUCAAAUACUUGCAUCUCCUGAGUUUGUACAAUGUUAUUAUACCUUCUGUAAUAUACCUUCGCUAAAUUGCUGUAGAAUGUAAUACAAAUUCCACCACUUAGGUACUAUAAUAUACUUGUGGUUCUUACAAUACUGUCUCGCUACUGCCUUCAUGCCGGGGCGCAACGGGUCAUCUAAUCAAGUUUCUUUUGUUGUGAAUGACACUACCGUAUUUGGGGCACCAAGCAUGUUAAGCCCAAAUUGGUCAUGUGACCGAUCAAUGAAGUAAUGUUAGUUGUAAGAUUGAAUCGCUGAGCACGUUGGUUCCCUAUCACCC
Lolium perenne is the source of this 1638-nucleotide non-coding RNA. The record is from RefSeq and is a predicted model, not a curated record. NCBI's taxonomy places the organism in Eukaryota, Viridiplantae, Streptophyta, Magnoliopsida, Poales, Poaceae.